This is a long non-coding RNA of Numida meleagris (helmeted guineafowl), 282 nucleotides long. RefSeq lists it as uncharacterized. NCBI's taxonomy places the organism in Eukaryota, Metazoa, Chordata, Aves, Galliformes, Numididae. The record is from RefSeq and is a predicted model, not a curated record. The transcript has 3 exons.
GCUGACUACUCCUGAUAACCUUCUCUUCCAAAUGCCUAGAGAUGGCAUCCAAAACAAGUUGUUCUAUCAGCUUUCCAGGGAUAGAGGUGUGCUCCUGGCUACAGUGCAUGAAGAGUGAUGCAAGAUUCAUCAGGUCAGAAGGAGAGCACACGCUGCUAUUUUGUCAGCAUAUUGCUCGGAAGUGUGCUGUCAGUCAUGGCAUAAUGGUGGACUCACUGAAAGAAAACACAAGGAAUAAUGUGGACAAGUUUUGCUGUUAGUUCCAUGUGAAUAAAAUUCUGA